AUCUGUUUAGUUCAUGUGAUUAAUUGCUUUGUUGAGCGGAACCUUUAUUUCCGUAAGUUAUACGCAAUUUGUGCACAUGCGCUAUUUCCAUGAUGCGCUACUGUCGCGAUAGGCAUAGUGGAAGCGUCUUGAGUUCUGUGUGCUUUCCUACGCCCGUGGAAGCAAUAACUGUGAGAAGCUUCACUGGAGAUCACAGUCUAUCGAAGUGGAAAAGAAAAAAGAAAAAAUUACUACAAAAUGUGUGGGACUUCCAUCUUCUAAGCCUGAAAAAUGCAUAGUUAUAAAACAGAGUUAUUGCUUAACACUGGCACAGUCAUCUCCAUGGCAUGGCCAAUUUGGGCUGAGAUGAGGACCAUCAACCUCUGGGACUCGCAUCACAUGGUACAUCUCAGGAGAGCUGGAGCUUGCUUGUAACAACCAACCAGCCAACGUCUACAACCAUUUGUCCUCAACGGGGUUACGGCAAGAUCUUCUGAUAGAAAGAGAUAAACAUAUGUCUUCAAGACAACUACUGCCCUUGUAAGAUCUUAGCCACCCAUGCCACAACAAUGGCAACCAAACUCCACAUGAUUUUAAACUUUCAGCUGAAGAACACAACAAACAUCCUUUCAUCCAACCGCUAGCUAGAAUCAACUAGUUUCAUCUCUAUUCUGCAGGGAUAUGUGGCUAAACCUUCACAAGCCAAAGAGCAUCAGUAAGACAUUAGAGCAGCAUGGGAUUUAGAGGGGACAGAAACCGUCUGCUCAGUGUGGUAUCUGAGGUUACGCUAGCACAGCUGACAGGGGAGCCUUCUGG
This 795-nucleotide long non-coding RNA is filed under the name Scleropages formosus (Asian bonytongue). RNAcentral describes it as "lncRNA (ENSSFOG00015028015.1)". The record is from RNAcentral. Lineage: Eukaryota; Metazoa; Chordata; Actinopteri; Osteoglossiformes; Osteoglossidae.